RNAcentral lists this ribosomal RNA (484 nucleotides) under uncultured bacterium. Its description in RNAcentral is "partial 16S ribosomal RNA". It matches the Rfam family "Bacterial small subunit ribosomal RNA", at positions 30 to 507 of the family's 1533-position model. The record is from RNAcentral.
AUUGAACGCUGGCGGCAGGCCUAACACAUGCAAGUCGAGCGGAUGAAGGGAGCUUGCUCCUGGAUUCAGCGGCGGACGGGUGAGUAAUGCCUAGGAAUCUGCCUGGUAGUGGGGGAUAACGUCCGGAAACGGGCGCUAAUACCGCAUACGUCCUGAGGGAGAAAGUGGGGGAUCUUCGGACCUCACGCUAUCAGAUGAGCCUAGGUCGGAUUAGCUAGUUGGUGGGGUAAAGGCCUACCAAGGCGACGAUCCGUAACUGGUCUGAGAGGAUGAUCAGUCACACUGGAACUGAGACACGGUCCAGACUCCUACGGGAGGCAGCAGUGGGGAAUAUUGGACAAUGGGCGAAAGCCUGAUCCAGCCAUGCCGCGUGUGUGAAGAAGGUCUUCGGAUUGUAAAGCACUUUAAGUCGGGAGGAAGGGCAGUAAGUUAAUACCUUGCUGUUUCGACGUUACCAACAGAAUAAGCACCGGCUAACUUCGUG